This 787-nucleotide ribosomal RNA is filed under the name uncultured Lactobacillus sp. Its description in RNAcentral is "bacterial SSU rRNA". It matches the Rfam family "Bacterial small subunit ribosomal RNA", at positions 28 to 776 of the family's 1533-position model. The record is from RNAcentral. Lineage: Bacteria; Bacillati; Bacillota; Bacilli; Lactobacillales; Lactobacillaceae.
GACGAACGCGGGCGGCGUGCCUAAUACAUGCAAGUCGAGCGAGCUGCCUAGAUGAAUUUGGUGCUUGCACCAAAUGAAACUAGAUACAAGCGAGCGGCGGACGGGUGAGUAACACGUGGGUAACCUGCCCAAGAGACUGGGAUAACACCUGGAAACAGAUGCUAAUACCGGAUAACAACACUAGACGCAUGUCUAGAGUUUAAAAGAUGGUUCUGCUAUCACUCUUGGAUGGACCUGCGGUGCAUUAGCUAGUUGGUAAGGUAACGGCUUACCAAGGCAAUGAUGCAUAGCCGAGUUGAGAGACUGACCGGCCACAUUGGGACUGAGACACGGCCCAAACUCCUACGGGAGGCAGCAGUAGGGAAUCUUCCACAAUGGACGCAAGUCUGAUGGAGCAACGCCGCGUGAGUGAAGAAGGGUUUCGGCUCGUAAAGCUCUGUUGGUAGUGAAGAAAGAUAGAGGUAGUAACUGGCCUUUAUUUGACGGUAAUUACUUAGAAAGUCACGGCUAACUACGUGCCAGCAGCCGCGGUAAUACGUAGGUGGCAAGCGUUGUCCGGAUUUAUUGGGCGUAAAGCGAGUGCAGGCGGUUCAAUAAGUCUGAUGUGAAAGCCUUCGGCUCAACCGGAGAAUUGCAUCAGAAACUGUUGAACUUGGGUGCAGAAGAGGAGAGUGGAACUCCAUGUGUAGCGGUGGAAUGCGUAGAUAUAUGGAAGAACACCAGUGGCGAAGGCGGCUCUCUGGUCUGCAACCGACGCUGAGGCUCGAAAGCAUGGGUAGCGAACAGG